AAACUUUACAUCAUUUUGAUUAAAGCAUAAAAUUUAAUUGUGUUUUACACUAUAACGAUAAACGCUUUUUGUAAUAGAUAUUUUGGACCCGGGGGCGGUACCCGGCACCUCCACCAUAAAAUUAAGGGGGUGACAUAGUUUCGACAGGAUAUUGAAAGAAUUAGUUUUCGUUCAGGCUGACUAGCCUGGUUGGCAAUAGCCAAUAAAUCAUCAAUUUUAUAAUUGCAAACGAUAAUUUUGCAGUGGCUGCGAAUGAUAAUUUCGCAGUUGAGUAUGCAGCUGCAGCUUAAAUUUAGUCAAUUGACGAUUUAAGCACUAGUUGCAUAAAUGCGGUUUUGGGGGUGCCGAGCAACAGAAACCUCCUUU
Molecule: transfer-messenger RNA, 366 nt
Filed under: Rickettsiales bacterium
Lineage: Bacteria; Pseudomonadati; Pseudomonadota; Alphaproteobacteria; Rickettsiales
Rfam family: Alphaproteobacteria transfer-messenger RNA
About the family: Bacterial tmRNA, also known as 10Sa RNA or SsrA, is named for its dual tRNA and mRNA-like properties. Its role is to liberate the mRNA from a stalled ribosome. To accomplish this part of the tmRNA is used as a reading frame that ends in a translation stop signal.
Source: RNAcentral